UUUCCAGGAAUGGGGGAUAGC
This 21-nucleotide microRNA is filed under the name Monodelphis domestica (gray short-tailed opossum). RNAcentral's name for it is "Mdo-Mir-12298_5p* (star (passenger))". Lineage: Eukaryota; Metazoa; Chordata; Mammalia; Didelphimorphia; Didelphidae. The record is from RNAcentral.